Molecule: ribosomal RNA, 484 nt
Filed under: uncultured bacterium
Lineage: Bacteria
Description: partial 16S ribosomal RNA
Rfam family: Bacterial small subunit ribosomal RNA
Source: RNAcentral
AGUGAACGCUGGCGGCAGGCCUAACACAUGCCAGUCGAACGGACGCAGCGAGCUUGCUCGUGGAUUCAGCGGCGGACGGGGGAGUAAUGCCUAGGAAUCUGCCUGGUAGCGGGGGAUAACGUCCGGAAACCGGCGCUGAUACCGCAGACGUACUGAGAGCGACAGUGGGGGAUCCUCGGACCUCUCGCUAUCAGGUUAGCCUAGGUCGGAUUAGCUAGUUGGGGGGGUAACGGCUUACCAAGGCGACGAUCCGUAACUGGUCUGAGAGGAUGACCAGUCACAUGGUCUGUGAGAAACGGCCGAGACUCUGACGGGAGGAAGCAGUGGGGAAUAUUGGGCGAUGGGGGAGUGGCGGAUCCAGCGAUGCGGCGGGUGUGAAGAAGGUGCUCGGAUUGGAAAGUGCUGUAAGUUGUGAGGAAGGGAAGUAAUUUAAUACCUGACUGUUUUGACGUUACCAACAGAAGAAGCACCGGCUAACUUCGUG